AAUUAGCGCGAGGGUGGGGGCUUUCCACGAGGCUCACCUGAGCACAAGCAGUUUUGCAGGCAUGAGAAAUCACAGUGAGAGCAACGCUUUUUCACCAUAUGUUAAUGUGAAGAGUGAACAGUAAAUGGUUAAUCUUACUGCGAUCUGGUUCUUAUUAACUGUGGUUUAUCCGGACGUUAAAUUCGGCGUUUCGUUACACCCGAAGGAGAACGUGACAGUGAAAAAGCGGCAUUAUCAGGUGUUUCAAGUGCUGCAAUGUCAGCUCAAUCCAGCAUCAAGUCGACGCCGCCCAGCGACAGGGGCAGUAAACCGACAUCAAGUAAGCCCACCCAGGCGUUAUCAGGUGUUCCAAGUGCUGCAAUGUCAGCUCGAUCCGGGAUCAAGUCGAUGGCGCCCAGCGACAAGGGCAGUAGAACGACAUCAAGUAAGUCCGCACAGGCAAGAGCCAAGGCAGAAGCCGCCAAGGUGCGACUGCAUUACGCCAAACAAGAGGCAGUUUUGAAAAUGAAACUGGCCACCAAAGAAGCCGAAAGGGCCGCCAGACAAAGAGAAGAGGCUGCCAGAGAAGCCGAAAUCCAGAAAGAAAGGGCCGCCAGAGAAGCCGAAGAGGCCGAAACCCAGUUGGAAAUGACAAAAAUAUCGACAGAGUUGCAUGUGCUGCAGCUAGAAGGAGAAGGAGAAGCUGCCAGGGUGGAAGCAAAGUACAUAGAACAAGCUGAAGGGUCGCGUGAUCUGACCGAAGUAAGAUCUACUUUAGAAAGGACCAGACUGGAACGCACAAGCGACUAUGUACAACAUCAAAUAGACAGGCAGGCUCGUCUCCCCUCUCCAUACGUAUUCGAUAACUUCCCCAGCUACGAGGAACCUCAGAGAGUCACGAUUGCAUCACAUCCAUACGAGGAAGGAAAUUUACCCUCACGGCUCCGUGAUGAAGUCAAGAAUGAAAGAACCGACAACGCUCCUUCACCCCCACAACAGGACGGCGGGGAGGGAGAGGUUCACUCCAGGACAACAAUUGUCAGCUCGAACUGUACAGAAGUUUGCGGUCAAACUCAGUCAAGCCGUUCUUGUUCCGAGAUCUGCCUCACUGAGGUGUACCCUAAAGAAGCACAACAAGACAUUACCAAGCGUAAAGUAACUGACGAGACGCUAGGUCAGUCAGUUUUCGUUCAAACCGAGCACGGAAACAAACUUGCACAAUCAGCUCAAGAUACCAUUUCUUUAAAACCCAAAGACACCAAGGUCUUCAGAGAUGAAGCAAAUAAUGGGGUUGCCCCAUUGCCAAUCAGAGAACCACGCCAGCGCUCACCAGAUAACAAAGAGCAGGCAGUCAAACGGUUCACGUCCUUACGGAAAACCUGGAAAAGGAAACCUGAGAUGCAGCAACGCACCCGAUUGGCCCACGAGGUACUGUGCACCCUAAUGGCAGAGGUCACAGCCAUUAUAAACGCACAAUCAUUCCUACCUGUGUCUUCUGACCCAGAAAACCCCUUUAUACUUUCGCCAUCAACGCUCCUUACGCAGAAGGCAGGAGCACCUCCUCCACCAGGAGACUUCUCAGACAAGAAUUUGUACACAAAACAAUGGAGACAAGUCCAGGCUCUGGCAAAUCAGUUCUGGCCUCGCUGGAGACAAAAAUAUCUACCCUCGUUGCAACAGAGACAAAAGUGGACAGGACCCCACAGGAAUCUGGCCAACGGCCAGAAUCACUGCUACAUUCCCUAGCGGGGAUGGACAUGUCAGGAAGAUCGAAUUGAAGACUACCGACCAAGGCGAUGUGAAAAUUUACCAAGGGCCAGUUACAGAAGUUAUUCUACUUCUACCCAAUGACUGAUUAAGAGACUAAGUUUUGUACUCUGCUCAUUGUGACCUUACGAAGGUCAAGCGGGGAGUGUGCUGUCUUUACGACAGUUAUUUAGUUUAUAAUAUUUUCGCUUAGUAAUUCAUUCAAUAGUAUUUUCUAGUUAGAAUUAGAAGUGUUUAAAGUGUAUUCAUUGCAUGUAAAAUAUAUCGGCAUGCGAUGACGUCACAUCCGGUUUCGCCGCGUCUUGUGGGAAAACACCGGUUUGAAAUUAGCGCGAGGGUGGGGGCUUUCCACGAGGCUCACCUGAGCACAAGCAGUUUUGCAGGCAUGAGAAAUCACAGUGAGAGCAACGCUUUUUCACCAUAUGUUAAUGUGAAGAGUGAACAGUAAAUGGUUAAUCUUACUGCGAUCUGGUUCUUAUUAACUGUGGUUUAUCCGGACGUUAAAUUCGGCGUUUCGUUACACCCGAAGGAGAACGUGACAGG
This is an RNA transcript of Hypanus sabinus (Atlantic stingray), 2289 nucleotides long. RefSeq lists it as uncharacterized. The record is from RefSeq and is a predicted model, not a curated record. The transcript has 3 exons. NCBI's taxonomy places the organism in Eukaryota, Metazoa, Chordata, Chondrichthyes, Myliobatiformes, Dasyatidae.